UCUCCUUUUUCCAAUCAGUGAAACUAAUCUCCCCGUGAAGAAGCGAGGAUACUAUUAUAAGACGAGAAGACCCCAUGGAGCUUCAAACCCAACUGCACCCCCAAUUUAUAUAACCUCUAAAUCUCUGGGAUCCUGCACCGUUGGUUUUAGGUUGGGGCGACCACGGAGUACAACAAAACCUCCACAAUGAACGGGACUAUUCCCUUAUCUAAGAGUUACAUCUCUAAGAAUUAAUAUAUUAAUAUAAAAUGAUCCAUUUUUUGAUCAAUGAACCAAGUUACCCUGGGGAUAACAGCGCAAUCCAUUUCAAGAGCCCCUAUCGACAAAUGGGUUUA
RNAcentral lists this ribosomal RNA (335 nucleotides) under Mantidactylus georgei. RNAcentral describes it as "partial 16S ribosomal RNA". It matches the Rfam family "Bacterial large subunit ribosomal RNA", at positions 2019 to 2520 of the family's 2925-position model. Lineage: Eukaryota; Metazoa; Chordata; Amphibia; Anura; Mantellidae. The record is from RNAcentral.